AUGGACCCCAACUGCUCCUGCGCUACCGGUGACUCCUGCACUUGCGCUGGAUCCUGCAAAUGCAAAGAGUGCAAAUGUAUCUCCUGCAAAAAGAGCUGCUGCUGCUGCCCGCCCGGUGGGCUGCACCAAGUGUGCCCAGGGCUGCAUCUACAAAGGGGCGUCGGAGAAGUGCAGCUGCUGCAGCUGA
This is an RNA transcript of Elephantulus edwardii (Cape elephant shrew), 187 nucleotides long. It is a transcript of the gene named metallothionein-2B-like, with no coding region annotated. NCBI's taxonomy places the organism in Eukaryota, Metazoa, Chordata, Mammalia, Macroscelidea, Macroscelididae. The record is from RefSeq and is a predicted model, not a curated record. The transcript has a single exon.